UACGGAGGGUGCGAGCGUUGUCCGGAAUCACUGGGCGUAAAGGGCGCGUAGGCGGUUUUGUAAGUCAGAUGUGAAAGCCCCGGGCUUAACCUGGGAACUGCGUUUGAAACUACAAGGCUAGAGUGUGGCAGAGGGGGGGUGGAAUUCCACGUGUAGCAGUGAAAUGCGUAGAGAUGUGGAGGAACACCGAUGGCGAAGGCGGCCCGCUGGGGCAACUGCUGACACUGAGGCGCGACAGCGUGGGGGAGCAAACAGG
Molecule: ribosomal RNA, 256 nt
Filed under: uncultured bacterium
Lineage: Bacteria
Description: partial 16S ribosomal RNA
Rfam family: Bacterial small subunit ribosomal RNA
Source: RNAcentral